AUCAUGGCUCAGGACGAACGCUGGCGCGUGCCUAAUACAUGCAAGUCGAGCGGACAGAAGGGAGCUUGCUCCCGGAUGUUAGCGGCGGACGGGUGAGUAACACGUGGGUAACCUGCCUGUAAGACUGGGAUAACUCCGGGAAACCGGAGCUAAUACCGGAUAGUUCCUUGAACCGCAUGGUUCAAGGAUGAAAGACGGUUUCGGCUGUCACUUACAGAUGGACCCGCGGCGCAUUAGCUAGUUGGUGAGGUAACGGCUCACCAAGGCGACGAUGCGUAGCCGACCUGAGAGGGUGAUCGGCCACACUGGGACUGAGACACGGCCCAGACUCCUACGGGAGGCAGCAGUAGGGAAUCUUCCGCAAUGGACGAAAGUCUGACGGAGCAACGCCGCGUGAGUGAUGAAGGUUUUCGGAUCGUAAAGCUCUGUUGUUAGGGAAGAACAAGUGCAAGAGUAACUGCUUGCACCUUGACGGUACCUAACCAGAAAGCCACGGCUAACUACGUGCCAGCAGCCGCGGUAAUACGUAGGUGGCAAGCGUUGUCCGGAAUUAUUGGGCGUAAAGGGCUCGCAGGCGGUUUCUUAAGUCUGAUGUGAAAGCCCCCGGCUCAACCGGGGAGGGUCAUUGGAAACUGGGAAACUUGAGUGCAGAAGAGGAGAGUGGAAUUCCACGUGUAGCGGUGAAAUGCGUAGAGAUGUGGAGGAACACCAGUGGCGAAGGCGACUCUCUGGUCUGUAACUGACGCUGAGGAGCGAAAGCGUGGGGAGCGAACAGGAUUAGAUACCCUGGUAGUCCACGCCGUAAACGAUGAGUGCUAAGUGUUAGGGGGUUUCCGCCCCUUAGUGCUGCAGCUAACGCAUUAAGCACUCCGCCUGGGGAGUACGGUCGCAAGACUGAAACUCAAAUGAUUUG
Molecule: ribosomal RNA, 913 nt
Filed under: Bacillus pumilus
Lineage: Bacteria; Bacillati; Bacillota; Bacilli; Caryophanales; Bacillaceae
Description: bacterial SSU rRNA
Rfam family: Bacterial small subunit ribosomal RNA
Source: RNAcentral